UCCGGUUUGGCACCGGCAGUCUCCCUAGAGUGCCCGGCAUAACCCGCUGGUAACUAGGGACGAGGGUUGCGCUCGUUGCGGGACUUAACCCAACAUCUCACGACACGAGCUGACGACAGCCAUGCAGCAUCUGUGCGCGCUCCCUUGCGGGUCCUCCCCCUUUCGGGGUCGUACCACGCGCAUGUCAAGCCCAGGUAAGGUUCUUCGCGUUGCGUCGAAUUAAACAACAUGCUCCGCUGCUUGUGCGGGUCCCCGUCAAUUCCUUUGAGUUUUAGCCUUGCGGCCGUACUCCCCAGGCGGGGUGCUUAAUGCGUUAGCUUCGGCACGGAGGGAAUCGACACCCCCCACACCUAGCACCCAUCGUUUACGGCUGGGACUAC
RNAcentral lists this unclassified non-coding RNA (380 nucleotides) under uncultured bacterium. RNAcentral describes it as "contains 16S-23S intergenic spacer region". The record is from RNAcentral.